GAAUUUUUGUUUGGGCCCGGCCAUCACAUCCAUGAAAAUAGGAUUUGAUAUGGUUGCAGAACAGAUUCUCAAAAAAGAUAUGGUUGCAGAACAGUAUGCUGAAUCUGUACGUUUUGCCAUCAUCUUCUUUCCUCCAGAUAGGAAGAGGAAUUUGAGGCUCAACACUGAUCUCCUAUGAAAAUAGAGGAUUAUACAAUUAGAUAACAGGUUUAUAUCAUUUUUGGUGCCUCCAUCAAAUUUCCUUGCCAAGUUACUGGAUGUACCUGGUCUUGAAGGAAUUUAUCGUUCCUCCAUCAACCUGCUGUAAGCCUUCUCCAGAUUCAACAAUUGCAGCAUGCUACCCGUCAAGAUACCUGAGGAUCUGGAAAUCAAUAAUAUGAAGUGUUCUCACGGGCAGACAUUUCAUUUCCACAUGAAUUAAUUAGCGCUACCUUGUUUGUAUGCUUAUGAUGAUCAUUUCUAUUACACCUUGAUACUUUAACCAUAACCUAUCGUUUAUUUUGUGGAUUAUAUCACAUGCACUGAUGAAAUUUUAGCUAUACUUACAUAGCUAUACACUUGUAUGGACACAUAGCUUUCUCAAUUUAUCAUUUGAUUCUUGUGGGGUCUGUGUUCCUAUAGCAUAGCUGCAAAAUACAAAAUUCAGGUGAGGGAGUACUUGAGAAUGAUGACUUUGUAGAUGGAUUCCUCAUUUAUAAAUUUGCUUUUGGAUGUAUUCUUUAGAGAAAGAAAUCCCUUUUAAUGAUCGUCUUCAAAGUUUUCAAGUUUAUGUGCAAUCACCAUGAUCACCCAGUUUUGGGGCCCAUUGGCUGGCUUGAAGAAGGCCCAAACCCAUGGACCGUGGAUGCCUAGCACGUGCUUGAGAAGAAGACGACUCCGGUUAGGAGUCUUCUUCCUCUCUCAACGUCGGCGGAUGCCAGGGGUUUUAGAGCAAGCCUAGUUCCACUAAAACUUCUAGGAUAUCACCUAUAAAAGGCUCCCUCCUCUGGACUCCACCACCGAAAUCUCAAGAGAUCGCCGCUAAUUUCAAGUUUCUUUUUGGGUGAGAUUAUCUCCGGUUUCUCCAUCGAUUUGGUUGUGACGUCUCGCUGGACUUAGGUAAUGAAACAAAGCACUUCUUCUUCUAUCUUUUCCGGCCUCAUGGCCAUCAUCAAAUCAAACCUUGAUUAGAGUAGGCGAGUUGCCGAAAUCAUGUUUGGGUAGAGGUUGCCCUGUCUUAGGAAGUCUUCUGAAGUCGUCGGAGGCUUCACUUCGAGGCAUUGAUCAUUGGUCAUGGAUAAAAAAUAAAAGCAAAAAGAAGAAGAAGAAGAUCAGACCUUCCAUCCUUGGUUUCUCUUAUUGUUCUACCUUCUUUUUUCUCUUCACUGGCUGGCC
Molecule: long non-coding RNA, 1374 nt
Filed under: Elaeis guineensis (African oil palm)
Lineage: Eukaryota; Viridiplantae; Streptophyta; Magnoliopsida; Arecales; Arecaceae
Description: long non-coding RNA (EGUI_LNC059768)
Source: RNAcentral